CUACGGGUUGCUGCAGUGAGGAAUAUUGCACAAUGGGGGAAACCCUGAUGCAGCAACGCCGCGUGGAGGAUGACGCAUUUCGGUGUGUAAACUCCUUUUAUGAGUCAAGAAAAUGACGGUAGCUCAUGAAUAAGCACCGGCUAACUCCAUGCCAGCAGCCGCGGUAAUACGGAGGGUGCAAGCGUUACUCGGAAUCACUGGGCGUAAAGGACGCGUAGGCGGGCUUGUAAGUCAGGUGUGAAAUCCUACAGCUUAACUGUAGAACUGCACUUGAAACUACGAGCCUAGAGUAUGGGAGGGGCAGAUGGAAUUAGUGGUGUAGGGGUAAAAUCCGUAGAUAUCACUAGGAAUACCGAAAGCGAAGGCGAUCUGCUGGAACAUUACUGACGCUAAGGCGUGAAAGCGUGGGGAGCAAACGGGAUUAGAUACCCGCGUAGUC
This 439-nucleotide ribosomal RNA is filed under the name uncultured bacterium. RNAcentral's name for it is "partial 16S ribosomal RNA". It matches the Rfam family "Bacterial small subunit ribosomal RNA", at positions 339 to 795 of the family's 1533-position model. The record is from RNAcentral.